AUACGGAGGGUGCAAGCGUUAUCCGGAUUCAUUGGGUUUAAAGGGUUCGCAGGCGGCGUAUUAAGUCAGUGGUGAAAUCCCGAGGCUCAACCUCGGAACUGCCAUUGAUACUGGUAUGCUAGAGUAUAGUUGGCGUUGGCGGAAUGUAUCAUGUAGAGGUGAAAUGCUUAGAUAUGAUACAGAACACCGAUCGCGAAGGCAGCUAACGAAACUAUAACUGACGCUCAGGAACGAAAGCGUGGGGAGCGAACAGGAUUAGAAACCCCGGUAGUCC
RNAcentral lists this ribosomal RNA (274 nucleotides) under uncultured bacterium. Its description in RNAcentral is "partial 16S ribosomal RNA". It matches the Rfam family "Bacterial small subunit ribosomal RNA", at positions 523 to 796 of the family's 1533-position model. The record is from RNAcentral.